ACUUUUAAAGGAUAAAAGUCUUCCAUUGACCUUAGGAGUCAAAAUUUGGUGCAAUUCCAAAUAAAAGU
This 68-nucleotide transfer RNA is filed under the name Tachyglossus aculeatus (Australian echidna). Its description in RNAcentral is "transfer RNA-Leu (CUN)". Lineage: Eukaryota; Metazoa; Chordata; Mammalia; Monotremata; Tachyglossidae. The record is from RNAcentral.